RNAcentral lists this ribosomal RNA (433 nucleotides) under uncultured bacterium. RNAcentral describes it as "partial 16S ribosomal RNA". It matches the Rfam family "Bacterial small subunit ribosomal RNA", at positions 29 to 507 of the family's 1533-position model. The record is from RNAcentral.
AACGAACGCUGGCGGCAUGCCUAACACAUGCAAGUCGAACGAGACCUUCGGGUCUAGUGGCGCACGGGUGCGUAACGCGUGGGAACCUGCCCUUAGGUUCGGAAUAACUCCCCGAAAGGGGUGCUAAUACCGGAUAAUGUCUUCGGACCAAAGAUUUAUCGCCUUUGGAUGGGCCCGCGUUGGAUUAGCUAGUUGGUAGGGUAAAAGCCUAUCAAGGCGACGAUCCAUAGCUGGUCUGUGAGGAGGAUCAGCCACACUGGGACUGAGACACGGCCCAGAAUCCUACGGGAGGCAGCAGUGGAGAAUAUUGGACGAGGGGCGAAAGCCUGAUCCAGCAAUGCCGCGUAAGAGAUGAAGGCCUUAGGGUUGUAAAGCUCUUUUACCCGGGAUGAUAGUGACAGUACCGGGAGAAUAAGCACCGGCUAACUCCGUG